This 497-nucleotide ribosomal RNA is filed under the name uncultured bacterium. Its description in RNAcentral is "partial 16S ribosomal RNA". It matches the Rfam family "Bacterial small subunit ribosomal RNA", at positions 28 to 507 of the family's 1533-position model. The record is from RNAcentral.
GAUGAACGCUGGCGGCGUGCCUAAUACAUGCAAGUCGAGCGAACAGACGAGGAGCUUGCUCCUCUGACGUUAGCGGCGGACGGGUGAGUAACACGUGGAUAACCUACCUAUAAGACUGGGAUAACUUCGGGAAACCGGAGCUAAUACCGUAUAACAUGUUGAACCGCAUGGUUCAACAGUGAAAGACGGUCUUGCUGUCACGUAUAGAUGGUUCCGCGCCGCAUUAGCUAGUUGGUAAGGUAACGGCUUACCAAGGCAACGAUGCGUAGCCGACCUGUGAGGGUGAUCGGCCACACUGGAACUGAGACACGGUCCAGACUCCUACGGGAGGCAGCAGUAGGGAAUCUGCCGCAAUGGGCGAAAGCCUGACGGAGCAACGCCGCGUGAGUGAAGAAGGUCUUCGGAUCGUAAAACUCUGUUAUGAGGGGAGAACAAAUGUGUAAGUAACUAUGCACGUCUUGACGGUAACUAAUCAGAAAGCCACGGCUAACUACGUG